UGGGAAUUUGGACAAUGGGCGAAGCCUGAUCCAGCAAUGCCGCGUGUGUGAAGAAGGCCUUCGGGUUGUAAAGCACUUUUGUCCGGAAAGAAAUCCUUGGCUCUAAUACAGUCGGGGGAUGACGGUACAGGAAGAAUAAGCACCGGCUAACUACGUGCCAGCAAGCCGCGGUAAUACGUAGGGUGCAAGCGUUAAAUCGGAAUUACUGGGCGUAAAGCGUGCGCAGGCGGUUUGCUAAGACCGAUGUGAAAUCCCCGGGCUCAACCUGGGAACUGCAUUGGUGACUGGCAGGCUAGAGUAUGGCAGAGGGGGGUAGAAUUCCACGUGUAGCAGUGAAAUGCGUAGAGAUGUGGAGGAAUACCGAUGGCGAAGGCAGCCCCCUGGGCAAGUACUGACGCUCAUGCACGAAAAGCGUGGGGAGCAAAACAGGAUUAGAUACCCUGGUAGUACCACGCCCUAAAACGAUGUCAACUAGUUGUUGGGAUUCAUUUCCUUAGUAACGUAGCUAAACGCGUGAAGUUGACCGCCUGGGGAG
RNAcentral lists this ribosomal RNA (535 nucleotides) under uncultured bacterium. Its description in RNAcentral is "partial 16S ribosomal RNA". It matches the Rfam family "Bacterial small subunit ribosomal RNA", at positions 357 to 880 of the family's 1533-position model. The record is from RNAcentral.